UGUGUUUUAUACAUUAUAAAUUUAUCAAAUUAUUUUUAUUUGUUUCAUGCAAAAGGAGAAAAAUAUGGCUAAAGUCACUAACCUUUUUUAUAUUACGAUUCUCUUUCUUUCACUAUUUUUCAUUGCAAUGAACGAUGCCGCAAGAUAUGAAUGUCGUGAGGACUCUCAUUGUGUAACGAAAGUUAAGUGUGGGCUUCCUCGAACUCCGAAAUGUAGGAAUUACAUAUGUUUUUGUCAUAAUCCAAAUAAAUAUAUAUGAUGAUAAAAUGUUCCAUUA
Medicago truncatula (barrel medic) is the source of this 277-nucleotide long non-coding RNA. RefSeq lists it as uncharacterized. The record is from RefSeq and is a predicted model, not a curated record. NCBI's taxonomy places the organism in Eukaryota, Viridiplantae, Streptophyta, Magnoliopsida, Fabales, Fabaceae. The transcript is spliced from 2 exons.